RNAcentral lists this ribosomal RNA (497 nucleotides) under uncultured bacterium. RNAcentral's name for it is "partial 16S ribosomal RNA". It matches the Rfam family "Bacterial small subunit ribosomal RNA", at positions 28 to 507 of the family's 1533-position model. The record is from RNAcentral.
GAUGAACGCUGGCGGCGUGCCUAAUACAUGCCAGUCGAGCGAACAGACGAGGAGCUUGCUCCUCUGACGUUAGCGGCGGACGGGUGAGUAACACGUGGAUAACCUACCUAUAAGACUGGGAUAACUUCGGGAAACCGGAGCUAAUACCGGAUAAUAUAUUGAAGCGCAUGGUUCAAUAGUGAAAGACGGUUUUUGUGGCACUCAUAGAUGGAUCCGCGCCGCAUUAGCUAGUUGGUAAGGUAACGGCUUACCAAGGCAACGAUGCGUAUCCGACCUGAGAGGGUGGUCGGCCACCUGGGAACUGAGCCACGGUCCAGACUCCUACGGGAGGCCGCAGUAGGGAAUCUUCCGCAAUGGGGGAAAGCUUGACGGAGCAACGCCGCGUGAGUGAUGAAGGUCUUCGGAUCGUAAAACUCUGUUAUUAGGGAAGAACAAAUGUGUAAGUAGCUAUGCACGUCUUGACGGUACCUAAUCAGAAAGCCACGGCUAACUACGUG